UGAAUUGCGAUGCAACAAAGGAGUAGGCGGUGGGAUCUCGCUGUGUGUCUGAGUUAGCCCUUUCUCUGCCUUGCUUGUUUGAGCUUCAGCUGGAUUCGAGAUGGCUGGCGGUAAGGCUGGGAAGGACUCCGGAAAGGCCAAGACAAAUGCCGAUUCUCGCUCUCAGAGAGCUGGCUUGCAGUUGAGGGUGAGAAAUCCAGGUCUAUCAAUCAUGGACGUGUGGGCGCGGUGCAGCCAUCCUGUACUUCGUCACAGAGGUGCUUCAACUGGCAGGAAGUGCACCAAAGAGUUAAAGUUAUUGCCCCUUGUCACUCGCAACUUGCUGUUCAUGGAGAUGAAGCAUUGGACUCUCUCCUCAAGGCUAUGAUUGCUGGUGGUGGUGUCAUUCCACACAUCGCAAUUCUGUGGGAAGAAAGGUCAACAGAAGACUGUCGGGAUGCCUGGUUUCCUCAUUAUCUCAGGACUCUAA
Propithecus coquereli (Coquerel's sifaka) is the source of this 469-nucleotide RNA transcript. It is a transcript of the gene named histone H2A.Z pseudogene, with no coding region annotated. Lineage: Eukaryota; Metazoa; Chordata; Mammalia; Primates; Indriidae. The record is from RefSeq and is a predicted model, not a curated record. The transcript has a single exon.